UGUGAAGAGAGAUGGAGUUUUUUGGAUGUCCUCCAAAGAGCUGCCUAUGAGAAGUCACCAAGAAUGUACAGAACUUUUGCAAUAAGAUGACAAUGAUUAGAUGGAAGCCCCUGGGGAAGUCCUUUGUCCAAGCUGGCCGCUCGAGCUGCAGAUGCAGGAGCCGGAGGGAGUUGUUUGAUGGCAGAUGUCCCCAGCAUGACCCCACACCAGCUCCUUCUGUGGAAGAACAACAUCCCUUGGCAGACAAGAGCAAGUGACACUCUUGCUGGGGGCACCUCUGUUGAAAACCUUACUGGAACUGCAAUUAGACCUGUGAUGUUCCUCCUGUAUGCAUAAGGCCUUUACCUUUUGUGGGAGG
Long non-coding RNA from Zonotrichia leucophrys gambelii, 358 nucleotides. RefSeq lists it as uncharacterized. The transcript has 3 exons. NCBI's taxonomy places the organism in Eukaryota, Metazoa, Chordata, Aves, Passeriformes, Passerellidae. The record is from RefSeq and is a predicted model, not a curated record.